Long non-coding RNA from Periophthalmus magnuspinnatus, 286 nucleotides. RefSeq lists it as uncharacterized. The transcript has 3 exons. NCBI's taxonomy places the organism in Eukaryota, Metazoa, Chordata, Actinopteri, Gobiiformes, Gobiidae. The record is from RefSeq and is a predicted model, not a curated record.
GUGGGCAGUGAGGGCGGCUGUAGCUGCAGUACUUCUCACUGUGGUGGCCCUGGUCACACGGUGGAGAGUCAGAGUGAAGUCUGCAGACACCAGAAGCGACUCCCCUGUCAGACCGAGUGAGGAGGCAGUGACCUACAGCUCAGUGAGGGACACCGCUGUGGAGGAUCCUGAUCAGAUGUACGUCAAUGAAUGAACCGACAACCAACCAGCCCAAAACUAAUACACCAACAAACCACGAACCAAGAAGUCAUGUGGUAAUAAUAGUUAAAUGGAAGUAGUGGUUUGU